This 4466-nucleotide unclassified non-coding RNA is filed under the name Octopus sinensis (East Asian common octopus). RNAcentral's name for it is "uncharacterized protein C3orf18-like, transcript variant X1". Lineage: Eukaryota; Metazoa; Mollusca; Cephalopoda; Octopoda; Octopodidae. The record is from RNAcentral.
ACUUCCGGGAAAUUGAACUCGGGAUGUCGUUAGCAGUCGUCUAUAACAACAGCAGUUUCACUUUCAGCGAUAUCGUACCGUCGUUGCGCCUGCUGCCAUUCACUCUAUUUUUUUUAGUUUCACUAUUCUGCGAGACAUCUCAUGCCGAUAGAAACAUUCUGUUCCCAUUUCUACCAACUGAUGCCUCUAAAUCAGUAAUUUAAGAUGUGAGGAUAACUUCUGAAACUCUCUGAGGUAAUUAUCCAUUGGUGUACACAUUGCAUUUACUAUCAAACCCACUGCAAGGAGGAUGGUGUUCAAGGAAGUAUACAGCAUGUGUUCAACGCAGUUAAUUUAUACAGCAAACAGAGAUUCAGCUUGAGUGCAUAAAUGUUACAUUGAAACUUUUCCUCUCUUAACUUUGAUCUCCAACAUGUCUCAACUUCACUUCUGACUCCUCCAUGACUUUGAAUUUCUUUUACAUUUAAACAAUGUCUCUAAAAUUUGGAGCUGCUCAGGCCCCAGCUGAGCAAGCUGGGACUCCCCCUACUAACUAUGUGAUCAGGGAACCAAGUCCCCCGACCAGCAUAUUGGCUACAUUACAUGCAACCUCUACAGUUUCGAGCAGUACCUCCACAAUAUCUACUGAGUUAGAAGGAAAACAUACCUGGGCAUAUAUUUUAGUGCCUCUUGGAGCAAUUGUUUUCCUUGGGUUUGUCAUCUUUCUGAUUGUUGUAAUACUGAAGAAAAAUAGGUUAGACAAACUUCGGCACCAUCUGAUGCCAUUGUACAGUUUUGAUCCAGCUGCUGUAGAUGAAGACCAAGAUUGGGAAUGUGAAUUAUUAGAUGGAGAUAAAGAACAACAUGUUGCCCUGAGAUCUGAGAGCCCAAGUUUCCGACAUGCACCCAAGCUGAAAUUUUCUACAGAUCAUUCUGAACUGUAAGGAUAUUUCCCUCUGGAAGCUUAUUGUCUUACAAAUCCAGAAUCACCAACUUCCUUCCUCUGUUGUGUCAGCUCAAGUAUUCUCCAGUAUGUCUUCUGCUUUUGGCAUCAUUCUCCAGCACAAUAUUGUUGACAAAAGUUCAUUCUCUGAAAAGGAAAUAGAGAGAAAAAGAGGACAUAUAAAACAUGUUAUAACCAUUUUUGUUAACAAAAGUUAAUGUUUUGUUGUUUUUUUGUUAUUAUAUUCAUUUAUUAUUUUUUAGCUCUGAAUUUGUUUAUAGAGAUAUCAUCACCAGCACUCAUUUUUUUUUUUGUUCUCUCUCUCUCUCAAAAUAUUUGGAUAAAUUUCUCCAAAGCAAAAAGCAAGAUGUCUAUAUCUAGAUAAUUGUUUUUCUAACACCUAUUUUAACAAGUUCAUUUCUGUUGGAUAAUUCAGCAUAAUUUAGAAUUUUGAAGGUAGUGAAGCAUUUCAAGGUAUUUUAUUUCUCUUGUUUCAUACUUGAGCUUUGAUUGACAAAUACAAAGAUUAUUAUAAACGCUGUAUGAAUGGAUCUUUGAGGGAAAUCAAUGUAUUGCUAUUCUAACUUUAUUCUUAACAAAACUGAAGUCUCAAAAAUAUAAUUAUUCAAUGUAUUUUUCUCAAAAAAAUUUUUUUUUUAAUAUCUUUAGAUCUAUCUCUGGUGUUUAAAACCCAUAAAGAGCCACUGAGGUUUUCAUGCAGCUGCUUGUUUCUAUCUUAUUUGUUCUUUGACUAAGCUACUUCAGUAAGCUUCUUUUGAAAAAUCCAAAGUUGCAUCCUCAAGGUUAAUCAAAGAAAAGACUCAAGUUUUGUAAUCAAAGACAACCAGCUUGUUAUAUUUUACCAAUAUCCAACAAGAACUCUUCUCCAAAUCUUCUUGAAACUUUGUCUCUCUGUAGUAUUUAGAAUGUUUCUUGAUAACAUCUUUUAGUCCAUAUGUUUGAAUCCCUUGCUUUUAUCAUGCAUAUCUCUAGACACUUACCAUCAGUUUACUUUUUAAACUUGCCAACAAUUUCAGUUAGGGUAUACUUCUCUUUGAUUCCCUCAAUCUUAACUAUUUAGUAAGUCUGAACAUCAAAUACAUAUAUAUAUAUAUUUUUUAACUCUAUAACACUUCUUUACCAAUAAUGGUGGAAUUGUUUCCAAAUGACAAACCUUCCAGUUUUCUCUCUUGCAAAGUUUCAGUGCUGAAGAUAACCUUUCAAAACCUAGUCUUUUGUUUUUUGUGUUAUUUAUCCCAAGUGUAUCACAAACACUUAAAUUUUUCUUGUUUUAAAUCAUCAUUAAAAUGCAUAUUUUGUUAAUUAAUUACUAUUCUUAAGAAAAUGACAGAAUAUUUACCAAAAAUUCUAGUAUGUAUAUUUAUCCAUUUUCAGUUAGAAAAUGUUAUUUGUUAAUACCAAUAUUCUAGGCACUUCUGCACAUGUGUCAGUGCUGUGUUGCUGUUUCAAGUGCAGUUUCCGUAACUCUUAAAUUUGGGUGCUCUCUUUUGCCCACACAAAAACACAUGUAAACACAUGUAUACACUUACACACUUCUACAUGGUCAAGCUUAUAACUCCAGUCCACCCAUGACCAUAUUUCUAAGUGCCUAAUCCAAUGUUUUGCUCAAUAUUUGUUGCUGGUUUUAAAAAUUAAAGGCAACCCCAAUGUUGCUAAAAAUUCUCCUUAUUUCCUCUUCUAGCUUUAUAAUAUCUGAUCCUUGCUUUAAAUCAAUUGACCAUUUUUACCUUCUCCUCUCCUCCCUUAUGACAUCAUGUGGCUACAGUGACCUUGCUACUUCCCAUUCUCAAUACUCAGUAAUAUUGCUGAUAAUCAUACAAUUGUUGUAAUAGUUUGGGCUUGGUAACAGACCUUUACAGUUCAUAUAAUGUUGUGACUAUGAUGCUGGCCUCUAAUUCCUAUGAAAUAAGAACCAUACUUUGAUAAAUGUGACCAUUCAUUCAACGUUUCUUCUUUGUCUAAAUAUAUUUCCAUUAUGACUCCACCAUUGCAUGACUUUUUUUGAGUGAUCUUUGACUUCAGUCUUUUAAAGAAUAUGAAUUCUGACAUUAUUUGACCCACUUCAUUAACAAUAUUUACUCUAAUUAAGACAGCUGACAGAAUUGUCAGCAUGUCAGACAAAUUUCUACCAGCUUAACAUUGUAAUUCCACCAAAGUUGAUUUUGCCUUUCAUCCUUUUGGGGUCAAUAAAAUAAGAGCCAAUUGAUAUGAUCAACUAGCCCCCUCCCCUCAAAAUAUCAGGCCUUGUGCCUAAAAGUAUUUAUUCUCAUUUCUCUAAACUUCAGACAUUUUUAUCAUCUAAGAACUACUAACGGAUGGGGUUAAAUCAAUAUAAUUAUUUACUUCAUUAGUGUUACAAAAGUAUGAAGUAAUAUGUAAAGUUUUGUGCCCCAUUUUAUUCUUGAAGGGCAACAUGAAUAGCAAAAAAUAUUAUGUAAAUGGAAAUUUGUUUAGGAAUAGCAACCUAAUUAUAUGUGUACAUAAGUGGAAUGAGGAGCUUUAUAAUUAUCAGAGUAGGCAUCAUGGCUGAAAACGUAUAUCAUGGAGGUUAGGUGGAUGGAAUGGGACACAAUGUGAGAUAUGUGAAUGAAUAUUUUACAUUGCAAUGUUCAGCUUGGCUGAUCAUGAAUAACGACCAUAAUAGUGGUAACAGACAAUUAGGUAAUGACAUCAACAGCUACCAAUAUUAGACGAUUUAUAUAUUUUAAUGUGGUUGUGUAAUAUUGGUCGUGUUUAAAAAAUGUUACUAAAAUUAUGAAAUUAUCAUAACAGCAGCUUGUUCUUCUCUUGGCGAAAUUGAGAUUAUGUUUAUUGAAUUUGAAAGGAAUAUUUCAUGUGUGUGUGUGUGUGUGAUUAAAUAGAUAAAUACAUACACAUUAAACGUAAAAUAGUUAUCCAAAUUCCUAUGGAUAUCUUCUUCUUCUUCUCUUCUUCUUCUUCUUCUUCAGGUAGUCUUAUAUAAGAACAUAAUUCACUAGAACUUGUGAAAAUCUUUCUUUGAAUGACAGAGAAAUCUCCCUUUAAUCACAUCCUAUCAAAUGAUUAGAGGAAGACUUCUCAAAUGACAACAUAAAGGCUUUCACAUUGGCUCAGUGAUAUUUAGCAUUUUGAUAUAUAAGUCAAUAUAUUCUAUAUAAUUUAUUAUCAAGAUAUACAUCUUGGUAUCUAAUAUGUUUUAAAUGCAAUUAGAUUUGGAAUUUUUAGUUUUGUCCUUUUUUUUUUAGUGAAAUAUAUAGUUUCUGUUUUAUUAGAUUUGAAGAAGACCUGUUGGUGCAAAUAUUUUUUAAAGUUUUAGUUGCAUUCAUGUGUUGUCUUCUUUUUAAAUCUGUUUUAGGUUUUGUUUUUUGUUUUUUCAAUUAAUUCCUAAUUGAUUAAUCUGUGUAUGUGCACAUCUGGUAGCACACGAUAACAUUAUGCAAAUAUCAUUGGUGAAUUUAAAAGCAAAAAGUUCAAGUCAUUUCUGAUAAGUGUAAAAUGUAGAAUACACACAACUGUGUGGCGGAGAAGUUUCUUUUGCAAAUAU